GGCAGUUCAAGGAGAUGCAUUGCAGGGGUGAGAUCAAAGGAUUUGCUUGAAGCAGACACGGGAAAGUAGGGGGCGUAAAGGACGCGACCAGAAUGCUGAGAGAGGUCAAGAAACGUGUGUUUAUAUGUCCGUGGGGUUUGUUAGGGACCAGACAACAUCCCAGCUGGGAGCGCUGGGGAUUAUUAGGUCCAGCGAAGCACUUGAACAGCAAAAGGAUCGAGUCUGGUGUAGGAG
This 234-nucleotide long non-coding RNA is filed under the name Setaria italica (foxtail millet). RNAcentral describes it as "long non-coding RNA (SITA_LNC007280)". Lineage: Eukaryota; Viridiplantae; Streptophyta; Magnoliopsida; Poales; Poaceae. The record is from RNAcentral.